This 597-nucleotide long non-coding RNA is filed under the name Populus tremula. RNAcentral's name for it is "long non-coding RNA (PTRE_LNC001509)". Lineage: Eukaryota; Viridiplantae; Streptophyta; Magnoliopsida; Malpighiales; Salicaceae. The record is from RNAcentral.
UCCACCAGCACCGAGAUGACAACCGUCAUCCACAGCACAACUCCAUCUCAGUUUUGUUCCAGCCCUACACCAGCAACAGUACGUAGUGAUUGAUGUUCACGUUACAAGCAUCCCAGAUUCUCUAGCAGCAAGUUUUCAGUAGUGUAGCUGUUAAGAGCAACGUCAUUACAAUUGUAUGCUAGGCAUGAGAAAUGGGCAGCCAAAUCGCUUAGAAAGCUUGAGAAUAUCCAUGAGGAAAGAAGGAGAUGAGGUCAAGGGAGCUUCUUUUGCUAGCAAUGCAUUCUUUCCUAUUGCUUGGAACGAUACAGUGGAGAAGGUAUGUGAAGCUAACAUUGGUGUUGUUACAGAGCAUGGUGGUAGCAUCAGGAAUAAGGACACCAUAGAAUACUGCAACAGUAUAUGAAGAAAAAAAAAAGAAAAAAAAAAGAAAGGGAGAAAGAGACCCCCAUGCAUACCUGCUAAGAGUCUAAAACUGGUGGAGGCUGUGCUGAUAGUAAAAGGAGAAGGAGCCGUGCUAGUUAUAACAGAAAGAAUGGAAAUGCAGUGUUCUUUUAGUCGGAAAAACUGCAAAAAGGUGAUGGAUAGACACUGGUCUCG